Molecule: ribosomal RNA, 496 nt
Filed under: uncultured bacterium
Lineage: Bacteria
Description: partial 16S ribosomal RNA
Rfam family: Bacterial small subunit ribosomal RNA
Source: RNAcentral
GAUGAACGCUGGCGGCGUGCCUAAUACAUGCAAGUCGAGCGAACGGACGAGAAGCUUGCUUCUCUGAUGUUAGCGGCGGACGGGUGAGUAACACGUGGAUAACCUACCUAUAAGACUGGGAUAACUUCGGGAAACCGGAGCUAAUACCGGAUAAUAUUUUGAACCGCAUGGUUCAAAAGUGAAAGACGGUCUUGCUGUCACUUAUAGAUGGAUCCGCGCUGCAUUAGCUAGUUGGUAAGGUAACGGCUUACCAAGGCAACGAUGCAUAGCCGACCUGAGAGGGGGAGCGGCCAACAUGGAAAUGAGAAACGGCCCAAAAUCCAAGGGGGGGACGCAGUAGGGAAUCUUCCGAAAGGGGGGAAAGCAUAAAGGGACAACGCCGGGGGAGUAAAGAAGGGUUUCGGAUGGUAAAACUCUGUUAUUAGGAAAAAAAAAAUGGGAAAGUAAAUGUGCACAUCUUGACGGUACCUAAACAGAAAGCCACGGCUAACUACGU